UUUCGAUGUCUCCCCUGCAACGCGUGCUGAAUAAUAAGAGCAAAAUGUGAUACAAAUUUGUCAAAAAACACGGGAUGUGCGAAAUUUGAUAAACUCAAAAACUGUCGUAAAAAGUCAACACCAUGUGUUUAUUUUCAAAAUCUUGGGGGUGUUUUUUACUGUAGGUAGUGUGAAGGGAAAGGAACAAUAAUUUAUUCGCGUCCAGAUGCCCCCAUAAUGAACCAGAACAUCCUUCUUGAGACUGAAGAGCAGUUUAUUUGCCCGUCUAUUAGACAUCACCUGCCCCCGAAAUUAACACCAGAUGAGCCAAAUCAUUCCAGACGCCUCGUAUUGACCAUUUGGCGUGAUAUCUCCGCACUAAUCUGCAUUCGGACCUACGCUUGAUUUUCCCCCGCGUUCAAACACCCCUCGCAUUAACCGGCCGCCCUCUCGAGGGAAAAAGGGCUGAUAAUAACAAUCAAAUUUCAAAACCUUGUUACGACCGAAAUUACAUUUUUUAAACAAA
This is a long non-coding RNA of Tribolium castaneum (red flour beetle), 505 nucleotides long. RefSeq lists it as uncharacterized. The transcript has 2 exons. The record is from RefSeq and is a predicted model, not a curated record. NCBI's taxonomy places the organism in Eukaryota, Metazoa, Arthropoda, Insecta, Coleoptera, Tenebrionidae.